GUCGCUUGGGGAUAGGCCCAUAGCCUAUCAGCUAGUUGGUGAGGUCAAUGCUCACCAAGGCUUACGGGUAGCUGGUCUGAGAGGAUGGUCAGCCACACUGGGACUGAGACACUGCCCAGACUCCUACGGGAGGCUGCAGUCGAGAAUCAUUGUCAAUGCACGAAAGUGUGAACAUGCGACGCCGCGUGGAGGAAGACGGCCUUCGGGUUGUAAACUCCUGUCAGCAGGGAGGAAAGAUGGUUUUGCUAAUAUCAGAAUCAUUUGACAGUACCUGCAGAGGAAGUCACGGCUAACUCUGUGCCAGCAGCCGCGGUAAUACAGAGGUGGCGAACGUUGUUCGGAUUUACUGGGCGUAAAGGGUCCGCAGGCGGAUCGGUGUGUCGGAUGUGAAAGCUCACAGCUCAACUGUGGAAUUGCAUUCGAAGCUGCCGGUCUAGAGUACUGGAGGGGAGAAGGGAACACUUGGUGUAGCGGUGAAAUGCGUAGAUAUCAAGUGGAACACCGGUGGCGAAGGCGCUUCUCUGGACAGAUACUGACGCUCAUGGACGAAAGCUUGGGUAGCGAAAGGGAUUAGAUACCCCUGUAGUCCAAGCCGUAAA
Molecule: ribosomal RNA, 599 nt
Filed under: uncultured organism
Description: bacterial SSU rRNA
Rfam family: Bacterial small subunit ribosomal RNA
Source: RNAcentral